RNAcentral lists this ribosomal RNA (225 nucleotides) under uncultured bacterium. Its description in RNAcentral is "partial 16S ribosomal RNA". It matches the Rfam family "Bacterial small subunit ribosomal RNA", at positions 111 to 334 of the family's 1533-position model. The record is from RNAcentral.
UAACGCGUGGGGAACCGUGCCCUAUACAGGGGGAGUAACAGCUGGAAACGGUUGCUAAUACCGCAUAAGCGCACAGAAUCGCAUGAUUCAGUGUGAAAAGCCCUGGCAGUAUAGGAUGGUCCCGCGUCUGAUUAGCUGGUUGGUGAGGUAACGGCUCACCAAGGUGACGAUCAGUAGCCGGCUUGAGAGAGUGAACGGCCACAUUGGGACUGAGACACGGCCCAA